GACGAACGCUGGCGGCGUGCUUAACACAUGCAAGUCGAACGGAAAGGCCCUGCUUUUGUGGGGUGCUCGAGUGGCGAACGGGUGAGUAACACGUGAGUAACCUGCCCUUGACUUUGGGAUAACUUCAGGAAACUGGGGCUAAUACCGGAUAGGAGCUCCUGCUGCAUGGUGGGGGUUGGAAAGUUUCGGCGGUUGGGGAUGGACUCGCGGCUUAUCAGCUUGUUGGUGGGGUAGUGGCUUACCAAGGCUUUGACGGGUAGCCGGCCUGAGGGGGUGACCGGCAACAUGGGGACGGAGAGCCGGCCCGACCCCCAGCGGGGGGGAGCAGUGGGGAAUUUUGACCAAGGGGCGGAACCCUGAUGCAGCAACCCCGCGUGCGGGAGGACGGCCCCCGGGUUGUAAACCUCUUUCCCCUGGGACGAAGCGUGAGGGACGGUAAUGGGUAAAGAAGCACCGGCUAACUACGG
This 467-nucleotide ribosomal RNA is filed under the name uncultured bacterium. Its description in RNAcentral is "partial 16S ribosomal RNA". It matches the Rfam family "Bacterial small subunit ribosomal RNA", at positions 28 to 506 of the family's 1533-position model. The record is from RNAcentral.